This 411-nucleotide ribosomal RNA is filed under the name Verrucomicrobiota bacterium. RNAcentral's name for it is "Verrucomicrobia bacterium partial 16S ribosomal RNA". It matches the Rfam family "Bacterial small subunit ribosomal RNA", at positions 355 to 776 of the family's 1533-position model. The record is from RNAcentral. Lineage: Bacteria; Pseudomonadati; Verrucomicrobiota.
UGGGGAAUAUUGCACAAUGGACGGAAGUCUGAUGCAGCGACGCCGCGUGGGGGAUGAAGGCUUUCGGGUUGUAAACUCCUUUCAGUACAGAAGAAGCUUUAUUGUGACGGUAUGUGCAGAAGAAGCGCCGGCUAACUACGUGCCAGCAGCCGCGGUAAUACGUAGGGCGCGAGCGUUGUCCGGAAUUAUUGGGCGUAAAGAGCUCGUAGGCGGUUUGUCGCGUCUGCUGUGAAAGACCGGGGCUUAACUCCGGGGCUGCAGUGGGUACGGGCAGGCUGGAGUGCGGUAGGGGUAACCGGAAUUCCUGGUGUAGCGGUGGAAUGCGCAGAUAUCAGGAGGAACACCGGUGGCGAAGGCGGGUCUCUGGGCUGUUACUGACGCUGAGGAGCGAAAGCGUGGGGAGCGAACAGG